AUUGAACGCUGGCGGCAUGCUUUACACAUGCAAGUCGAACGGUAACAGGCCUUCGGGUGCUGACGAGUGGCGAACGGGUGAGUAAUGCAUCGGAACGUGCCCAGAGGUGGGGGAUAACGCAGCGAAAGCUGUGCUAAUACCGCAUGUGAUCUGAGGAUGAAAGCGGGGGACCAGGCAGAAAUGUUUGGCCUCGCGCCUUUGGAGCGGCCGAUGCCAGAUUAGGUAGUUGGUGGGGUAAAGGCCUACCAAGCCGACGAUCUGUAGCUGGUCUGAGAGGACGACCAGCCACACUGGGACUGAGACACGGCCCAGACUCCUACGGGAGGCAGCAGUGGGGAAUUUUGGACAAUGGGCGCAAGCCUGAUCCAGCAAUGCCGCGUGCGGGAAGAAGGCCUUCGGGUUGUAAACCGCUUUUGUACGGAACGAAAAGGCUCUGGCUAAUACCUGGGGCUGAUGACGGUACCGUAAGAAUAAGCACCGGCUAACUACGUG
This 492-nucleotide ribosomal RNA is filed under the name uncultured bacterium. RNAcentral describes it as "partial 16S ribosomal RNA". It matches the Rfam family "Bacterial small subunit ribosomal RNA", at positions 30 to 507 of the family's 1533-position model. The record is from RNAcentral.